AGUGAACGCUGGCGGUAGGCCUAACACAUGCAAGUCGAACGGCAGCACAGUAAGAGCUUGCUCUUACGGGUGGCGAGUGGCGGACGGGUGAGGAAUGCAUCGGAAUCUACUUUUUCGUGGGGGAUAACGUAGGGAAACUUACGCUAAUACCGCAUACGACCUACGGGUGAAAGCAGGGGAUCUUCGGACCUUGCGCGAUUGAAUGAGCCGAUGUCGGAUUAGCUAGUUGGCGGGGUAAAGGCCCACCAAGGCGACGAUCCGUAGCUGGUCUGAGAGGAUGAUCGGCCACACUGGAACUGAGACACGGUCCAGACUCCUACGGGAGGCAGCAGUGGGGAAUAUUGGACAAUGGGCGCAAGCCUGAUCCAGCCAUACCGCGUGGGUGAAGAAGGCCUUCGGGUUGUAAAGCCCUUUUGUUGGGAAAGAAAAGCAGCAGGUUAAUACCUCGCUGUUCCGACGGUACCCAAAGAAUAAGCACCGGCUAACUUCGUG
RNAcentral lists this ribosomal RNA (492 nucleotides) under uncultured bacterium. RNAcentral describes it as "partial 16S ribosomal RNA". It matches the Rfam family "Bacterial small subunit ribosomal RNA", at positions 29 to 507 of the family's 1533-position model. The record is from RNAcentral.